UCCUGUUGAUCCUGCAGGAGAUUGCUGCUAUCAGGGUUCGACUAAGCCAUGCAAGUCAAGGGGUUCUUCGGAACACCGGCAAAAUGCUCAGUAACACGUUGAUAACCUACCCUUAAGUCUGGGAUACCCUUGGGAAACUGAGGCUAAGACCGGAUAGGAGGCCAGUUCUGGAAAGAAAUGUCUCUUAAAGGCAACGCUUAAGGAUGGGUCAGCGGCCGAUUAGGUUGUUGGUGGGGUAACGGCCCACCAAGCCUACGAUCGGUAGGGGCCUUGAAAGAGGGAGCCCCGAGAAGGGAACUGAGAUACGGUCCCUAGCCCUACGGGGUGCAGCAGGCGCGAAACCUCUACAAUGCACGAAAGUGUGAUAGGGGGACCCUGAGUGCUCAGCUAUGCUGGGCUUUUGCCAAGAGUAAAAAUCUUGGCGAAUAAGUGGUGGGUAAGACGGGUGCCAGCCGCCGCGGUAACACCCGCGCCGCAAGUGGCAAUCGUUGUUAUUGGGCCUAAAGCGUCCGUAGCAGGUCUUGUAAAUCUUUUGUGAAAUUGUUGCGCUCAACGCAACAGCGUGCAAGAGACACUGCAAGACUUGGGACCGGGAGGAGUCAGAGGUAUUUCAUGGGGAGCGGUAAAAUGCUAUAAUCCAUGAAGGACCACCUAUGGCGAAGGCAUCUGACCAGAACGGAUCCGACUGUGAGGGACGAAAGCUAGGGGAGCGAACCGGAUUAGAUACCCGAGUAGUCCUAGCUGUAAACUCUGCGAGCUAGGUGUUGCGCAAUCUACGGGAUUGCGCAGUAUCGAAGCGAAGGCGUUAAGCUCGCCGCCUGGGAAGUACGGUCGCAAGGCUGAAACUUAAAGGAAUUGGCGGGGGAGCACUACAAGGGGUGCGGCGUGCGGUUUAAUCUAACUCCACUCAGAGAAUCUCACCAGAAGCGACGGCAGAAUGAAAGUCAGAUUGAAGGUUUUACUUGACGAGCCGAGAGGUGGUGCAUGGCCGCCGUCAGCUCGUGCCGUGAGGUGUCCAGCUAAGCCUGGUAACGAGCGAGACCUGCGUCUACAAUUGCUAGCAGAUGCUUUUGCAUGACUGAGCAUAUUGUAGGGACUGCCCCGGAAACGGGGAGGAAGGUGCAGGCUACGGUAGGUCUGUAUGCCCCGAAUCUUCUGGGCUACACGCGCGCAACAAUGGUAAGGACAAUGGGCUACGACUCCGAAAGGAGAAGUUAAUCCUCGAAACCUUAUCCAAGUCCAGAUUGAGGGUUGUAACCCACCCUCAUGACGAUGGAAUCCCUAGUAAUCGGGUGUUAUCAGCGCCCGGUGAAUACGUCCCUGCUCCUUGCACACACCGCCCGUCAAACCACUCGAGCAGGGUUUAGAUGAGGUGCAGUUUUUUGAUUGUAUCGAAUCUAAGCUCAGUGAGAAGGGUUAAGUCGUCACAAGGUA
RNAcentral lists this ribosomal RNA (1434 nucleotides) under metagenome. Its description in RNAcentral is "bacterial SSU rRNA". It matches the Rfam family "Archaeal small subunit ribosomal RNA". The record is from RNAcentral.